This 253-nucleotide ribosomal RNA is filed under the name uncultured bacterium. RNAcentral describes it as "partial 16S ribosomal RNA". It matches the Rfam family "Bacterial small subunit ribosomal RNA", at positions 524 to 776 of the family's 1533-position model. The record is from RNAcentral.
UACGAACCGUGCGAACGUUGUUCGGAUUCAUUGGGCGUAAAGGGUGCGUAGGCGGCGCGGUAAGUCGGGUGUGAAAUCUCGGAGCUUAACUCCGAAACUGCAUUCGAUACUGCCGUGCUUGAGGACUGGAGAGGAGACUGGAAUUUACGGUGUAGCGGUGAAAUGCGUAGAUAUCGUAAGGAAGACCAGUGGCGAAGGCGGGUCUCUGGACAGUUCCCGACGCUGAGGCACGAAAGCGUGGGGAGCGAACAGG